AUGGAGGAGAAAUGUGAUGACCUCAACUCUAGGCACCCGAAAUUCAAGAAAACAACAUACCGUUUUUUGGUGGGUGAUGCCUGUGUGGUCAUUGAAUUCCUUUCUUUUCAGCCUACCACCCACAGUCUUGAAUUGCUUCCUGGGAUGACAGCCUCCCCAAUAGUCACUGUGCCCUCGAUCCUGCACGCCCUAGUAAGGCCAUGGGGACAGGCGGCCGGAUUACACCCUACUGGGGAGUCUUCUUGCUCUCCCCCGAAGACUCAGGGAUGGGUUUGCCAUACCUGCCCUAGAAAGAAAGAAAUAAGACAUGAUGAAUGGAUCAAAAUCCUAACCUCCACUUCCCAUCUUCCUCCUAUCCUGCAAGUGCUUUUUUUUUUUAAAUCUUUCGUGAGUAUGUUUUUAUGCUUUUAUUACACAUUUGUGUAUUUAUGGAUACUGUCCUAUUGCUACUUGCUUUCUGCAUCUGACAUCAUGUGUUUGAGGGCCAUUCCUCUUGAUUCAUGCAACUCUUUCUCAUUUUGGUAGCGGAAAAAAUUUCAUUGUGCAACCGAGUUGGUUUAUCCGUCAUCUGGUUCCUUGGCAGAUUUUUCCAGUUUUCCUAUUUUAUGUGUAAUGAGCUCAAAGAAACACUUUCUUUGUAAAUAUAUGUGAACACUUUUGUAGGAUAGAUGAUAGGAGUAGAAGAUAUAGUGAAAAGAAGGGCCAUCUGCGCCCCAAUGUUUAUAGCAGCAAUGACCACAGUCACCAAACUGUGGAAAAAGCCAAGAUGCCCUUCAAUGGACGAAUGCAUAAGGAAGAUGUGGUCCAUAUACCCUAUGGAGUAUUAUGCCUCCAUCAGAAAGGAUGAAUACCCAACUUUUGUAGCAACAUGGACGGGACUGGAGGGGAUGAUGCUGAGUGAAACAAGUCAAGCAGAGAGAGUCAAUUAUCAUAUGGUUUCACUUAUUUGUGGAGCAUAAGGAAUAACACGGAGGACACUGGGAGAUGGGAAGGAGAAGGGAGUUGGGGGAAAUUGGAGGGGGAGACGAACCCUGAGAGACUGUGGACUCUGAGAAACAGUCUGAGGGUUUUGGAGGGGCAGCACGGGGGAUGAGCCUGGUGGUGGGUACUAAGGAGGGCAUGUAUUGUAUGGAGCACGGAGUGUGCUGCAUAAACAAUGAAUUCUGGAACACUGAAAAGAAAUUAAAAAAAAAGAUGAUAGGUUUCUGGUCAUUGUGAUUGUCAUUAUGUAUGUAUGUACAUAUCUAUUUGUCUGUCUUUCUAUCUUCUACAUCUUUCUUCAAGUUGAUUGGGUAUUAUCCAGUUCUUCUUUGAAGACGUUCAACCAAUUUACAUUCCACUCACAGCAUGAAAGAGUUGCUGUUCCAGAGCAGGUAAGUAGUUGGUGCCAAACUAGAUACAGUGGUGAAAUAGGUCAACUUUGUCUUCCAGUUGCUACCCUUUGGGAGAGUUCCCCCUGACUUAGAGUCUCCACUUCUGAGGUGCCCCAGAACUCUCAGGGCAUGACUUUAGGAGUUGUACCUCUUGAAAGAUACAUCAGUCACUAGGUUUGUUAGACAUUUUAAUGUUUUACCACUCUGAUGGGUGUAGGUUUUGUUUUACUUUGCUAAUUUCUUUCAUUUUAAUAGCUGUAUUGAUUUUCAAUGAAUAGAAUUUCUUUGUUUUUUAGGUGUGCCUGGGUGGCUCAGUGGGUUAAGCCUCUGCCUUCUGCUCGGGUCAUGAUCUCAGGGUCCUGGGAUCAAGACCUGCAUUGGGUUCUCUGCUCAGCAGGGAGCCUGCUUUCCCCAAAC
Molecule: long non-coding RNA, 1790 nt
Filed under: Mustela putorius furo (domestic ferret)
Lineage: Eukaryota; Metazoa; Chordata; Mammalia; Carnivora; Mustelidae
Description: lncRNA (ENSMPUG00000027561.1)
Source: RNAcentral